CCAGCCUAUGUGUCGUCUAGUUCUUGGGAAGGAAGGGUUACUGCAGUGCUGUUUGGAUUAUGGUAUGCUGAUUCCCUGGAUUAUCCUUUGUUGUUCCUGUUACCCAGCGGAGAUAUCGCGGAUUAUACUGCCUCUCCGCUACAAUUGGUGGCAAGCGACGGGAUUGAAUUUACACAGCAAAGCAACGUUCGGCAGAUUUUUAAACGAAUCAAGGAACAAGCAUUCGGGAAUUAGCGCAUUCGAAUAAACCUCACGAACAGCAG
Pelobates cultripes (western spadefoot toad) is the source of this 263-nucleotide non-coding RNA. Lineage: Eukaryota; Metazoa; Chordata; Amphibia; Anura; Pelobatidae. The record is from the annotation of a GenBank genome assembly.